Haplochromis burtoni (Burton's mouthbrooder) is the source of this 760-nucleotide long non-coding RNA. RefSeq lists it as uncharacterized. Lineage: Eukaryota; Metazoa; Chordata; Actinopteri; Cichliformes; Cichlidae. The transcript has 3 exons. The record is from RefSeq and is a predicted model, not a curated record.
CUGUGCCACAGACAAUGAAAUCGAUGGAUCGACACUUCUGCAGAUGACUGAAAGAAUGAGUGAGCGUCUUUUUCCAAAAGUGAAAGACCAAGUGAAAUUUUUGUCUGCUGUAGAGAAGCUGAAAGAUGGAAGGCAACACAAAGAAAAGCAUACUGUGUCAGCACUCCAACCUAUGUUUAACUGCAAAGUGCAGUUUCCUCCAGCUGUGCUCACUGCGUUGACCAAUAAAGAUGCAGCACUAAAGUCACCCACCAAGAACAGACUCAAAAACAUGCUUAUUCAAGCACUGUUUGACCACUUGAGUAAUGAGACAAUGUAUCCCUCUCAUGUGCAGUAUGUAGAGCUUCUGAGGACUGUCCUUCUGAGUUUUCCUUUUUUGAAGGAGAGUUAUGGCUCUGGAUAUGUAAGUACUCCUGAAAAGCAAACAUUGAUACAAUUGUCCAACAAAUUGUCUUUGAAUUGCCCAAUUAUUGGCUAAUGAGUGUAACAUGCUAACAUUUUCAUUGUUACAUAUUCAGAGGUUAUCUGUUCCCUUGUGGCCACUACAAUACAAGUAUUAGUAUUGUGAUUUUUGAGGCAGAUGUCGUGCAGUAUGGUCAAACAAUAAAUAAAAUAUCAAUUGCUCUUUUAAAUUAAUUGUUUCAUUUCUCUGUGAAUUCUCAAGUGAAUGGUGUGAAAUUCAGCAUUAUAUUAGCUCUGUUUGCCUUUGUAUCAGGAUAGUGUAGUUUUUGUAUUUAAAAAAUUAAAUUUGAAAAUAGGG